GACGAACGCUGGCGGCGUGCUUAACACAUGCAAGUCGAACGGUGAAGCGCCUUCCUUUUUGGUGGGUGUGGAUGAGUGGCGAACGGGUGAGUAACACGUGAGUAACCUGCCCCCUUCUUCUGGAUAACCGCAUGAAAGUGUGGCUAAUACGGGAUAUUCUGGGUCUGUCGCAUGAUGGGUCUGGGAAAGAUAUUGUUUCGGUGGGGGAUGGGCUCGCGGCCUAUCAGCUUGUUGGUGGGGUGAUGGCCUACCAAGGCGGUGACGGGUAGCCGGCCUGAGAGGGUGGACGAUCACACUGGGGCUGAGCCACGGACCAGACUACUACGGGAGGCAGCAGGGGGGAAUAUUGCACGAUGGGCGCAAGCAUGAUGCAGCGACGCCGCGUGAGGGAUGGAGGCCUUAGGGUUGUGAACCUCUUUCGCCAGUGAAGCAGGGCUGCCUCGUUUGUGGGUGGGUUGACGGUAGCUGGAUAAGAAGCGCCGGCUAACUACGUG
RNAcentral lists this ribosomal RNA (494 nucleotides) under uncultured bacterium. RNAcentral describes it as "partial 16S ribosomal RNA". It matches the Rfam family "Bacterial small subunit ribosomal RNA", at positions 28 to 507 of the family's 1533-position model. The record is from RNAcentral.